UGAGGAAUAUUGGUCAAUGGGCGAGAGCCUGAACCAGCCACGUCGCGUGAAGGAAGACUGACCUUACGGUUUGUAAACUUCUUUUGUAGAGGGGUAAUGGCAGAUACGUGUAUUUGCGUGAAAGUACUCUACGAAUAAGCAUCGGCUAACUCCGUGGCAGCAGCCGCGGUAAUACGGGGGAUGCGAGCGUUAUCCGGAAUUAUUGGGUUUAAAGGGUGCGCAGGUGGCUAAUCAGGUCAGUGGUGAAAAGCUAUGGCUCAACCAUGGUCUUGCCAUUGAAACCGUAUAGCUAGAGAGGAGACGAGGUAGGCGGAAUGUGUGGUGUAGCGGUGAAAUGCAUAGAUAUCACACAGAACUCCGAUUGCGAAGGCAGCUUACCAGGCUUUAUCUGACACUUAGGCACGACAGCGUGGGGAUCAAACAGG
Molecule: ribosomal RNA, 425 nt
Filed under: Verrucomicrobiota bacterium
Lineage: Bacteria; Pseudomonadati; Verrucomicrobiota
Description: Verrucomicrobia bacterium partial 16S ribosomal RNA
Rfam family: Bacterial small subunit ribosomal RNA
Source: RNAcentral